UGCAGAGUUCAGCGUGGGGUGAAUGGUGUUGUUCCUCACCACAGUGUUGCUCUUACGUCGCGGAGUGGUGAGGUGGUGUGGCGGCCAGCCCUCUGGUGGAGCACAUCGCACAGCACUCUCCACGUUAAUUUCUCGCAAAGUGAAGCAAAACUCAACUUAUGUGUAUAGAGUACUUUCCACUCAGAAUGACAUGUGUAUAGAGUACUUUCCACUCAGAAUGACUUGAACUAUCACAUCGCAAAGUACAGGACCUUAACUCACUGGACGUGCACCCAGUGUUGCCACUCUAGAAUUUCAGAAAACACAAGAUUGUCCCUCCAAAAAAGACUAGAUUGACCGAAAAACAACUAGAUCUCCGUAACUUCUUCCCGUUAUUCCCACGCUAAUGACAUAUGAGGCUUUUGUUUUUUUCAUAGUCAUUUUCUUGGCAGUUUCACAGUCAGGAAACAUCUUUUUCAUUAACUCAACCAAAUGGUCUGCCUGGGAAAAUGCUAUUCCAUGUUCUGCCAUAUAUCCACACAACAAUAAUUCUGCAUUGUUAACUUUAUCUUUCGGGUCUUCCACUGAUUUCUUUAAGAAAUGCUGAAUAUUCA
Molecule: long non-coding RNA, 593 nt
Organism: Portunus trituberculatus (swimming crab)
Lineage: Eukaryota; Metazoa; Arthropoda; Malacostraca; Decapoda; Portunidae
Exons: 2
Source: RefSeq, a predicted model, not a curated record